Molecule: ribosomal RNA, 254 nt
Filed under: uncultured bacterium
Lineage: Bacteria
Description: partial 16S ribosomal RNA
Rfam family: Bacterial small subunit ribosomal RNA
Source: RNAcentral
CACGUAGGCACCAAGCGUUGUCCGGAUUUAUUGGGCGUAAAGAGCUCGUAGGCGGUUCGGUAAGUCGGAUGUGAAAUCUUUGGGCUUAACCCAAAGCGUGCAUUCGAUACUGCCAUGACUAGAGUUCGGUAGGGGAGCGGGGAAUUCCUAGUGUAGCGGUGAAAUGCGCAGAUAUUAGGAGGAACACCGGUGGCGAAGGCGCCGCUCUGGGCCGAAACUGACGCUGAGGAGCGAAAGCGUGGGUAGCAAACAGG